UGGGAAUCUUGCACAAUGGGGGAAACCCUGAUGCAGCGACGCCGCGUGGGUGAUGAAGCCCUUCGGGGUGUAAAGCUCUUUCGGCAGGGACGAUAAUGACGGUACCUGCAGAAGAAGCUGCGGCUAACUACGUGCCAGCAGCCGCGGUAAUACGUAGGCAGCAAGCGUUGUUCGGAAUUACUGGGCGUAAAGAGUGCGUAGGCGGUUUGGCAAGUUUGGUGUGAAAUCUCCUGGCUUAACUGGGAGGGUGCGCCGAAAAACUGUCAGGCUAGAAGUGUGGGAGAGGAAAGCGGAAUUCCUGGUGUAGCGGUGAAAUGCGUAGAUAUCAGGAGGAACACCUGCGGUGUAGACGGUUUUCUGGACCACUACUGACGCUGAGGCACGAAAGCGUGGGGAGCAAACAGGAUUAGAUACCCUGGUAGUCCACGCCCUAAAACGAUGCGGACUUGGUGUUGGCCCUUCAUUGGGUCAGUGCCGCAGUUAACGCGGUAAGUCCGCCGCCUGGGGAGUAC
Molecule: ribosomal RNA, 512 nt
Filed under: uncultured bacterium
Lineage: Bacteria
Description: partial 16S ribosomal RNA
Rfam family: Bacterial small subunit ribosomal RNA
Source: RNAcentral